CAGCAGCCGCGGUAAUACGAAGGUCCCGAGCGUUGCUCGGAAUCACUGGGCGUAAAGGGAGCGUAGGCGGCGUGGUAAGUCAGAUGUGAAAUCCCGGGGCUCAACCCCGGAACUGCAUCCGAUACUGCCGUGCUAGAGGAUUGGAGAGGUAGCUGGAAUUCUUGGUGUAGCAGUGAAAUGCGUGGAGAUCGGAAGGAACGCCCGUGGCGAAAGCGAGGCCCUGGACCUUUUCUGACGCUGAGACGCGAAAGCCAGGGGAGCGAACGGGAUUAGAUACCCGAGUAGUCCCUGUCUCUUAUAC
RNAcentral lists this ribosomal RNA (301 nucleotides) under uncultured bacterium. Its description in RNAcentral is "partial 16S ribosomal RNA". It matches the Rfam family "Bacterial small subunit ribosomal RNA", at positions 509 to 807 of the family's 1533-position model. The record is from RNAcentral.